RNAcentral lists this long non-coding RNA (213 nucleotides) under Elaeis guineensis (African oil palm). RNAcentral's name for it is "long non-coding RNA (EGUI_LNC016467)". The record is from RNAcentral. Lineage: Eukaryota; Viridiplantae; Streptophyta; Magnoliopsida; Arecales; Arecaceae.
GUGCCGGAAUCUUUCUUAAUUCUCUCAAGCCCUAUUUAUAUUUUUCCAGCCACUUCUUUCAUCCUGAUUUCCAUCUCUUUAUUAUAAAUUAAUUAUUUGAUUUUGUCAACAAUGACAAACUUUUCUAUAGAGGAGAAGAAAUCCGUCUUAGAUUAUAAUUUGAAUUAACUAGUCCCGUUGAAUUGGAGCUUAUUUUCAUGAAAAAAAUCCAUC